This 66-nucleotide transfer RNA is filed under the name Sclerogryllus punctatus. RNAcentral's name for it is "tRNA-Ser". The record is from RNAcentral. Lineage: Eukaryota; Metazoa; Arthropoda; Insecta; Orthoptera; Gryllidae.
AGUUAAUAAGCUUAAAGCAUUUGUUUUGAAAACAAAAUAUAGAAUAAAUAUUAAUUCUAUUAACUU